RNAcentral lists this ribosomal RNA (856 nucleotides) under Salmonella enterica. RNAcentral's name for it is "partial 23S ribosomal RNA". It matches the Rfam family "Bacterial large subunit ribosomal RNA", at positions 1 to 751 of the family's 2925-position model. Lineage: Bacteria; Pseudomonadati; Pseudomonadota; Gammaproteobacteria; Enterobacterales; Enterobacteriaceae. RNAcentral also lists the same sequence under 1 other name. The record is from RNAcentral.
GGGUUGUGAGGUUAAGCGACUAAGCGUACACGGUGGAUGCCCUGGCAGUCAGAGGCGAUGAAGGGCGUGCUAAUCUGCGAUAAGCGCCGGUAAGGUGAUAUGAACCGUUAUAACCGGCGAUACCCGAAUGGGGAAACCCAGUGUGACUCGUCACACUAUCAUUAACUGAAUCCAUAGGUUAAUGAGGCGAACCGGGGGAACUGAAACAUCUAAGUACCCCGAGGAAAAGAAAUCAACCGAGAUUCCCCCAGUAGCGGCGAGCGAACGGGGAGGAGCCCAGAGCCUGAAUCAGCAUGUGUGUUAGUGGAAGCGUCUGGAAAGGCGCGCGAUACAGGGUGACAGCCCCGUACACAAAAGCGCAUGUGCUGUGAGCUCGAUGAGUAGGGCGGGACACGUGGUAUCCUGUCUGAAUAUGGGGGGACCAUCCUCCAAGGCUAAAUACUCCUGACUGACCGAUAGUGAACCAGUACCGUGAGGGAAAGGCGAAAAGAACCCCGGCGAGGGGAGUGAAAAAGAACCUGAAACCGUGUACGUACAAGCAGUGGGAGCCCCACCACCAAAGCAUUUGCUGUACCGCGUUGACGGAGCGAAGCGACGUCAAACCGAUAAAACAGCAGUGUAAAGUGAGCCGCAGGGCGCUUUGCGCGACAGCGCAAAGGCAGGCGGUUUCGCGUAGCGAAAGCGAAUGCUUUGGGGUGGGGUGACUGCGUACCUUUUGUAUAAUGGGUCAGCGACUUAUAUUCUGUAGCAAGGUUAACCGAAUAGGGGAGCCGGAGGGAAACCGAGUCUUAAUUGGGCGUUAAGUUGCAGGGUAUAGACCCGAAACCCGGUGAUCUAGCCAUGGGCAGGUUGAAGG